RNAcentral lists this ribosomal RNA (407 nucleotides) under uncultured bacterium. Its description in RNAcentral is "partial 16S ribosomal RNA". It matches the Rfam family "Bacterial small subunit ribosomal RNA", at positions 30 to 526 of the family's 1533-position model. The record is from RNAcentral.
AUUGAACGCUGGCGGCAGGCCUAACACAUGCAAGUCGAGCGGAGCGGCGGACGGGUGAGUAAUAACUAGGAAUCUGCCUGGUAGUGGGGGAUAACGUUCGGAAACGGACGCUAAUACCGCAUCCUUUCAGAUGAGCCUAGUUCGGAUUGGCUAGUUGGUGUGGUAAUGGCUCACCAAGGCUACGGUCCGUAACUGGUCUGAGAGGAGUAGCAGUCACAAGGGAACUGAGACACGGUCCAGACUCCUACGGGAGGCAGCAGUGGGGAAGAUUGGACAAGGGGCGAAAGCCUGAUCCAGCCAUGCCGCGUGUGUGAAGAAGGUCUUCGGAUUGUAAAGCACUUUAAGUUGGGAGGCGUUACCGACAGAAUAAGCACCGGCUAACUCUGUGCCAGCAGCCGCGGUAAUAC